UGCUGUUUCGCUGACGAGUGGCGGACGGGUGAGUAAUGUCUGGGAAACUGCCUGAUGGAGGGGGAUAACUACUGGAAACGGUAGCUAAUACCGCAUAACGUCGCAAGACCAAAGAGGGGGACCUUCGGGCCUCUUGCCAUCGGAUGUGCCCAGAUGGGAUUAGCUAGUAGGUGGGGUAAAGGCUCACCUAGGCGACGAUCCCUAGCUGGUCUGAGAGGAUGACCAGCCACACUGGAACUGAGACACGGUCCAGACUCCUACGGGAGGCAGCAGUGGGGAAUAUUGCACAAUGGGCGCAAGCCUGAUGCAGCCAUGCCGCGUGUAUGAAGAAGGCCUUCGGGUUGUAAAGUACUUUCAGCGGGGAGGAAGGGAGUAAAGUUAAUACCUUUGCUCAUUGACGUUACCCGCAGAAGAAGCACCGGCUAACUCCGUGCCAGCAGCCGCGGUAAUACGGAGGGUGCAAGCGUUAAUCGGAAUUACUGGGCGUAAAGCGCACGCAGGCGGUUUGUUAAGUCAGAUGUGAAAUCCCCGGGCUCAACCUGGGAACUGCAUCUGAUACUGGCAAGCUUGAGUCUCGUAGAGGGGGGUAGAAUUCCAGGUGUAGCGGUGAAAUGCGUAGAGAUCUGGAGGAAUACCGGUGGCGAAGGCGGGCCCCUGGACGAAGACUGACGCUCAGGUG
Molecule: ribosomal RNA, 679 nt
Filed under: uncultured Pseudomonadota bacterium
Lineage: Bacteria; Pseudomonadati; Pseudomonadota
Description: bacterial SSU rRNA
Rfam family: Bacterial small subunit ribosomal RNA
Source: RNAcentral